Molecule: ribosomal RNA, 468 nt
Filed under: uncultured bacterium
Lineage: Bacteria
Description: partial 16S ribosomal RNA
Rfam family: Bacterial small subunit ribosomal RNA
Source: RNAcentral
GACGAACGCUGGCGGCGUGCUUAACACAUGCAAGUCGAACGGAAAGGCCCUGCUUUUGUGGGGUGCUCGAGUGGCGAACGGGUGAGUAACACGUGAGUAACCUGCCCUUGACUUUGGGAUAACUUCAGGAAACUGGGGCUAAUACCGGAUAGGAGCUCCUGCUGCAUGGUGGGGGUUGGAAAGUUUCGGCGGUUGGGGAUGGACUCGCGGCUUAUCAGCUUGUUGGUGGGGUAGUGGCUUACCAAGGCUUUGACGGGUAGCCGGCCUGAGAGGGUGACCGGCUACAUUGGGACUGAGAUACGGCCCAGCCUCCUACGGGAGGCAGCAGUGGGGAAUAUUGCACAAUGGGCGGAAGCCUGAUGCAGCAACGCCGCGUGCGGGAUGACGGCCUUCGGGUUGUAAACCGCUUUCGCCUGUGACGAAGCGUGAGUGACGGUAAUGGGUAAAGAAGCACCGGCUAACUACGUG